CAGCCGCCGCGGUAAUACGAAGGGUGCAAGCGUUAAUCGGAGUUACUGGGCGUAAAGCGUGCGUAGGCGGUUUGUUAAGUCUGUUGUGAAAUCCCCGGGCUCAACCUGGGAAUGGCAAUGGAUACUGGCAAGCUAGAGUGUGUCAGAGGAUGGUGGAAUUCCCGGUGUAGCGGUGAAAUGCGUAGAGAUCGGGAGGAACAUCAGUGGCGAAGGCGGCCAUCUGGGACAACACUGACGCUGAGGCACGAAAGCGUGGGGAGCAAACAGGAUUAGAUACCCCUGUAGUCCCUGUCUCUUAUAA
RNAcentral lists this ribosomal RNA (301 nucleotides) under uncultured bacterium. Its description in RNAcentral is "partial 16S ribosomal RNA". It matches the Rfam family "Bacterial small subunit ribosomal RNA", at positions 509 to 809 of the family's 1533-position model. The record is from RNAcentral.